This 263-nucleotide non-coding RNA is filed under the name Paenibacillus sp. RNAcentral describes it as "T-box sequence". It matches the Rfam family "T-box leader". Rfam says of the family: Uncharged tRNA acts as the effector for transcription antitermination of genes in the T-box leader family. Lineage: Bacteria; Bacillati; Bacillota; Bacilli; Caryophanales; Paenibacillaceae. The record is from RNAcentral.
UGAAAAGCUGCGAAGAGAAAGAGUACCUUGGCGAAGUCUUUUUACAGAGAGCUCCGGUAGCUGAAAAGGAGUAAAGAAUAACCGAGGGAAUAUGGUCUCAGAGCUGCGCACCGAAGCCCCAUGUGGUUGUAGGCCGCGCCGGAACCCGCAUCCGUUACUGUGCUAGGGUAUAAACGCAAACCGCGUCGUACCUGAAGAGGCUAAUGCCGCAAGGCAUUUUUGAAAUUGGGUGGUACCACGUGAGCGCAACUCUCGUCCCUUUG